This 420-nucleotide unclassified non-coding RNA is filed under the name Hevea brasiliensis (rubber tree). The record is from RNAcentral. Lineage: Eukaryota; Viridiplantae; Streptophyta; Magnoliopsida; Malpighiales; Euphorbiaceae.
CAAAAAUAAAAGAACAAGACAGAACAAUUAAGAACAACGAAACCCAAAUCUUUCAAAAAUUUGUAUCUGAACACCACGCAGGCAUCAUCUGCUAUAUUAUAGAGCAAACAUCAUCCAUACUUCCCUCUUAAGUGUAAUUGUUGUAAAAACAAGAUUAAACAUUUGAAAGAACAAAGAGAACCCUACAAAAGAAAAACAACUAUGUAUAUAACACCAUGGCUACAUUUUAGUUCAUCGGCAAAUAUCUUGUCCAUGACUGAAAAGAUUUUUACAAGCAACAUUCCAGAUGCUGCAAAAUGGGUUUUGAUUCUGCAACCAUCUAAGUUUUGAACUGCAAAGUACCAACAAUUAAAAUUUUGUUUACAGUUAAAAAAUUUUAACCCAUUCAUCACCAAUUAAUUCUAAAAACACCAUUAGUUA